CAGGAACCUGAAACUGCCUGAA
RNAcentral lists this microRNA (22 nucleotides) under Lepisosteus oculatus (spotted gar). Its description in RNAcentral is "Loc-Mir-196-P3_3p* (star (passenger))". Lineage: Eukaryota; Metazoa; Chordata; Actinopteri; Semionotiformes; Lepisosteidae. The record is from RNAcentral.